UUAAGAUUGAAAACGCGCAUUAACAAAUAUGUCAAAACCUAAAUGAGAAAGUAUAUUGGACGAGUAUUGUACGGAGCGGCUGUAUUAAUUUUUUUAGAGGUGCUUUCAUGACAUUUUAAAUUUUUUUAAAAAAAUUUUGCAGUGUAUUAUUUUUUUUUUUAUGUGUGAUUAUUCUUCUAUUAAAUUCCAAAACACCGUCUAUGCGGGAGCUGGUGAGUAAGAUUGAAUAAUGAAAUGUUGUUGUGUGAUUGUUCUACCUAUAUACUCCCUCCUAUUCAGCUGAACUGUCCCAUUUGACUUUUCACACUUGCCGAGGCAACAUUUUAACUCUUAAUAUCUCAAAUUAUGCUUAAUUAAAAAUUAUAAAAAGUUGAUAUUAAUAAUCCUUGUAUUGAGACAAAUCAAACAAGAUCCCAUAUGACUAUGUUUUAACUUAUAGAUUAAGAGUAAAAUACAAAUUAAGAGUGAUAAGUGAAUAGUGCCAAAAAAAAAAUGGGACAAUUCAGCUGAAUAGGAGGUAGUAUAUUAUUAUUUUAUAGCACUAAAUUAUAAUUACGGGUUGAGAAAUGAUUGAAAUCAAAUGAAUGGAGUAGGAUUUUUUAUCUGAACGGUCCAUUGGUUCAUUUUGGGGAACUAAACCCCUUGGAGAUAUUAUUGUGAAGGUUUUUAUAAGAAAAUUUAGUACAAAGAAAUAGGUCUUAUGAAACUUUAAUACGAAGCAUCGAGACUUUAAAGAUAAAAAAAAUAUUAUAUCUUAUUUGUCAUAUUAGAGACUUGAAAGGAAGAGAUGAAAAUAAAAAUCUCAACUAAAAUGUCAUUCUCUUACUCAACUCCCUCCCACCUGCCAAACACCCACUUAAGUAAUGUACUUAAUUAUGAGAGAUGGAGAUAUUGGAUGAUGUGAACAAUCUUUUUGAGUUAUUGUUUUGAAGUUGAUAGUGGGUUUAGGGAAUUCUUGUUGAUCGUUUAUUUUUUGAGGUUGUGUGGGUAGGUUAAAAGAGACAAUGUAGACGGCAACGUUGAUGCUUCUGAAUGCCGGUUGAAACGGGUAACCUUUGAUGUGUAGCUUUUAAAUCUUUGUCGAAAAGUGUCCAAUACUGUAUUGAUCUGAGUGGUAGUGUCAAUUUUUGGAAGGUGGGAGCUAAAGACAUGAUGAGGGAAGGAGAGCGAAUCUUUCUUCCUAUUUGUGUUAUGGAACCACCUAUCAAGAAGCAGGAGUAUGAAUGUAGCGAAGAAGAAAUGAACUUCAUUCGUUGCCUUGAGAUAUAUAAGGAUUCUGCCAUAAUUGCUAUCAACAAACCCCUAAAACUGCCAGUAUAGGUAAAUGACAGGUUGGCCUUGGGAUUAAAAAGAGUUUAGAUGAAUUGGCUGCCACAUGUCUUAGAUAUGACAUCAAGGAACGUCCAAGAUUGGUUCACAAACUCGAUAGAGAUAGUAGUGGAAUCUUGGUAAUGGGAAGAACACAAACAAGCACAACAAUUCUUGAACAAUUGCAAAAGCUUCACGAUCUUAAGGUUCUUUUGUUCUAGUUGUGGGUAGUCUUGGAAGUAAGGCAGCAAAAGAGAAACAUUUCUUUGAUACUCAUUUGGCACGUUUCUAUAGCAUUGAACAAGUAUGUAAUUCCUCUAAUCUUCAAUGCCAGUCUUGCAGUUAAGUGGUUCAAUUUUUUUAGAUUAUUUUGGCAACGAAAAAAGAUCCAGAGAGUGGGAAACCUCCCACUAUAGUAACAGAAGAUAACAUACAGUUGCUUUUUGACAUACAACAGAAGGCAUAUGGUAUCCUUGUCUGAUAUUUGUUUAAAGCCUCUAGGUGAGGAUUGUGCCAUCCAAAGCAUUCUUCAGUAUUCCAGAUGGAUCCUUACAAUUAUGUUGAAUAUGGAGGCAUUCAACACGCUUUGUAUUGCUUUUAGGUAUUGUCUUCAUGAACUAAUCUAAUUGUUUUUUUGGUGGUGGUUAUAAAGUGAAAUUCAUGUGUAGUUAUCUGCUAUGCUUGCAAUACAAAUGUUAAUCUACAGAAAAAAGUCGCAUCACUGCUUUGAAUCGAAAUUUUCAGCUAAAAACAGAGAAUUUUCAAUAGUAAAAUUAUGUGGUGACUUGUAUGAGCUUCUGUAACAAGCUUAUGAUCUGAAUCAGUUCAAGUAUCAUGACGCACCAAAGUGAAGCUAGGUAUUCUGCUUGCUCCAUUUUGCCUCAGCUGGGUGGAGAAUAUGGGGAAUGUAGACUACGCUGUAUUCGACAAUUGCUAAAAAUUGUGAAAGUAAAUGUAUGUAGAUAGAUUCUUGUAGGCUAUAGCUGGUGAAAGAAGUCCCUGACUCCCAGUGUCAAAUUGUGUCAGGGAUCUAUUACUAUAUAUCUUAGGUUAUAAAAACGUGUUACCUUUGUCAAUGGAGGUUUGUUAUUGUUUACUUUCUUUGCCAUUUAACAGCAAAAUAAUUGAACAAGUUCUUGUUAAAGUUGCCUAAAGACUCCUUGGAGAUAAUGAUUUAUGAUACUGCUUCUGUCUUUGAAAGAUUGAAAGCAUAAUAACUCUUUUUUGGAGCAUGUAUUCCGUUGCAGCAUUACACAUGCACGGACUCAUGUUUGAGCGCCUUUAAAGCCCCACUUGAUCCAAGCGCUGCUUGGGGAGGAUUUUUUGGCAAUAAUUUUCCGAGGCUUCUGCAUUUGUGGUAACUUACCAAGUUACUAACACGAUUGAUGAGUCCAGCGAUGCAAAUGGGAAGGCUAUGGAAUGGGAAAGAGCUUUUAUUAAGUUGGCUAAGGAGGAGCUGUUAACCAUGGUGCAGCCCAACAAUCUCAGUUUAUCUUUUUCUUCAGAAAGCUCAAUUGAGGAUGAACUUAAACGGGAAAGCAAUGCUGAUGUCAUAACAAUUUUAGUAAGUUAUAUAAGAGGAAAUGUCCUUCUUUUUGUGCUUAUUGUUGGUGAUGUUGUGAUUAUCUGCCUGCCAGUUUUGGUAUUAAUAAUGUACUCAAGAAAAUUGAGAUCUUGACUCUUGACUACUUAUUAGUUUAAUCUGCGUCAGAUAAGCUAUCUUGUGAUGUUUGCUACAUAUCUCUUACACUGGGCGACAGACCACAUUUGUCCAUGUUCUACAUUUCAUCCAAGGUAUGAACUGAAUAAACUGUUACCAACUUCACUUUUUACUCAAAGAUAGUGUAUACAUUAUGAUCAUAGUUACCAUUCGUAUUUUGCUAAUUUUCAUCACGAAUUACAUCAUUACAAAAAAUUAAAGGGUUUGAUUUUAUGUAAUUUCCGUUUGUCAAAUGUAGAAGGGUUUGGAUUCUUCGCCAUUUCUGAUUCUUUAUCAAGUUUAGAAGGGUUUGGACUUCUUCAUUUGGAUACUUUUCCUGAGUCUUUGUCGAAUGUAGAAUGGUUUGGACUUCUAUAAUUACCAUUUGUAGACAUUUGAUUUCUCUAUGCAGUGUUAGAAAUAAUUUGCCUUGCGUUUUAUCUUUUGUCAAAUGUCAAUUGACAAUUCUUGAGUUAUUGGAUCUAUUGUAAAUUUUUUUACUUGAGCUUGAAUCAAUUUUUGGGCACACUGCACACCAGAGGUCUGGUUAAACUGAAUGAAAAGUAACAAUCUAAAGCAACAAAACACAGUAAUUCAAAUCAUAAGUUUAAAAGCAACAUCAGUUUCCUAGAUCUAUGUGCGCACAGGGAGUCUAGUUGAGAGGAACAUCCAUAGCUCUAGGCUAUGUUACUCUCGAGUGAGGCUAGUCAAUAUUUGAAUGAUAAUUUAUCUUAAAAUAGGGAGUAAGGGUUCCUCUACUCCGUCAAUGACCAUAUCAAUAUCAGCAUAAUCAUUCAUAACACAUUUCUCUCAACAUAAUAAAUUCAAAGUUUUAAUAAAACGAUUUAUAAAAUUGUAGUCUGGCCAGAUCCUUUAAGGGAUUGCUACUACUCACCAAAGAUGCUUUAAAGAGCUAAACCUGGUUCUCCGCGAUCACUAGAAGGGUUCUUCGAUAAUGUCGCCUCCUGAAGCAUAACAAAUUACAACAUCACAAAAGAGCGUUCGAUACUACAAUCUAAAUCGAUACAACUUAUUGCUUUUCCUCCUAGUCACCGCACCGUAGCUAAGACUUUAUUCUUAAUGUCCAACAAUUUCUCCAUUUAUACGUCAAAACACCAAAUACAUUUAAUUUUAGAAUUCUUUCCCAAAAAAAAUUAGUAAAGCCUCAAGUCGCUGCUACUAACAGCGACUUUAAGGUUAACUGGUCAACUCUUUAAUCUCGUAGGUUGGAAUGAGGAAGUAACUGAGAACUGGA
Amaranthus tricolor (Joseph's coat) is the source of this 4262-nucleotide long non-coding RNA. RefSeq lists it as uncharacterized. The transcript has 9 exons. The record is from RefSeq and is a predicted model, not a curated record. Lineage: Eukaryota; Viridiplantae; Streptophyta; Magnoliopsida; Caryophyllales; Amaranthaceae.